Molecule: ribosomal RNA, 486 nt
Filed under: uncultured bacterium
Lineage: Bacteria
Description: partial 16S ribosomal RNA
Rfam family: Bacterial small subunit ribosomal RNA
Source: RNAcentral
AUUGAACGCUGGCGGCAUGCCUUACACAUGCAAGUCGAACGGCAGCACGGGUGCUUGCCCCUGGUGGCGAGUGGCGAACGGGUGAGUAAUACAUCGGAACAUGUCCUGUAGUGGGGGCUAGCCCGGCGAAAGCCGGAUUAAUACCGCCUCCGAUCUCCGGAUGACAGCGGGGGACCUUCGGGCCCCGCGCCAUCGGGUUGGCCGAUGGCUGAUUAGCUAGUUGGUGGGGUAGAGGCCUACCACGGCGACGGUCAGUAGCUGGUCUGAGAGGACGACCAGCCACACUGGGACGGAGACACGGCCCAGACUCCUACGGGAGGCAGCAGUGGGGAAUUUUGGACAAUGGGCGAAAGCCUGAUCCAGCAAUGCCGCGUGUGUGAAGAAGGCCUUCGGGUUGUAAAGCACUUUGGUCCGGAAAGAAAUCCUUGGCCCUAAUACGGUCGGGGGAUGACGGUACCGGAAGAAUAAGCACCGGCUAACUACGUG